RNAcentral lists this long non-coding RNA (6731 nucleotides) under Vitis vinifera (wine grape). RNAcentral's name for it is "long non-coding RNA (VVIN_LNC003949)". Lineage: Eukaryota; Viridiplantae; Streptophyta; Magnoliopsida; Vitales; Vitaceae. The record is from RNAcentral.
CAUGAUAAAUCAAUUAUCAACUCCAGUACAUAACCCUUACAGUGAUAAAAUAAGCUACAUAUGUUUUUUUUUUUUUUUUUUUGAUAGACAAAGAGAACCAAUAGAUUAAAAAAACGCCAGAAAACAGGGGGCGCUCCCUAAGUACACAGGUUGUAUACAAAGAAGGCCCAAAAACAAGGCAACAAGGGAAAAAUAAAGACUAAAAAGGAUUAGCUAAGCAACAACCCUAUCACCCAUCAAAUUCCGAAAAGAUAGAUAGUCCAAGUCCAAGUCCACAAAUUGUUGAGACCAUUCAAGCAGGGACCGAAGAAAAAGUUUCCUCAAGUUCGUGUUUGUCAUCUCUUCCUCUAGGAAGGUUCUUCGAUUUCGCUCUCCCCAAAUACACCAAAACAGACAAAUAGGCGCCAUUUUCCAAACUACACUCCUUUUCUUCCCCAUGCCCUUCAUUUUCCACUCAAGAAGCAAAUUUCUUACGGAAUCCGGGAGCACCCACACCACCCCAAACAAAGAAAACAAUAAGUUCCAAAGAUCCCUUGUCUUACCACAAUGAAUUAGGAUGUGGUUUGCCGUUUCCUCAUUUUCUUUGCACAGGUUGCAUCUAUUAGCCAUAGACCAACCCCUCCUCAUCAGCAUAUCUAUAGUGGAAAUUUUACCCCAAACUGCUUCCCAAGCAAAAAAACGAGUUCUUAAAGGGGCAUACGAACCCCAAACCUCCUUUACUGGAAAUAAAGGGCUAUUGUCUUCCUUCAAAGACCUAUAAUAAGAGUUUACCUUAAACGUUCCUUUUCUCUCAAUUUUCCAAACCAGAAAAUCCUCCCCUUCUUGCACCCUUACUGCAGAAAUGUAACUCAAAAAGCGGUUCACCUCCUCUAACUCCCAAUCUUGAAAGGGUCUUCUAAAGUGCACCUCCCAACCCCCAUCUCCACCUUCUUGUCUUCCCCACAGAUCAGCCACUAUUGCAGAAUUAUUAGCUGCAAUUCUAAACAGCAAAGGGAAGAGAUCCUUUAGCUUAGAAUCUCCUACCCACAUGUCCCACCAAAAUCUGGUACGUCUCCCAUUUCCAAUAUGAAUCCUAGUUCUGAGAAAGAAUUCCUCCCAGCCCUUCCUAAUGUCUUUCCAAAGGCCCGUCCCAUAAGACUCUCUCACCUCUCUAGUGGUCCACCCACCUUGUACCUCCCCAAAUUUACCAACAAUGACUUUUCUCCACAAACUCUCCCUUUCUAUAGGAAAUCUCCAUAGCCAUUUCCCGAGCAAAGCAUGAUUGAAAUCCUUCAAAUACCUUAACCCCAACCCUCCAUGCCUCAUAUCUUUACAAGUAACCUCCCAUCUCACCAAGUGGAUCUUCCUUCUUUCCUCCAUAUCUCCCCACAAGAACUCCCUUUGAAUUUUUUCCAAUCUAAGUCUCACUUUCCUUGGGAUGACAAAAAGCGACAUGAAGUAGAUAGGGAGAUUUGAGAGUGUGCUCUUUAUGAGGGUAAGACGACCUCCCUUAGAGAGAUAUUGUUUUUUCCACAUAGCCAACUUUCUCUUGAAUCUUUCUUCUACCCCAUCCCAAACUCUACACGACUUGUGGGAUGCUCCAAGAGGUAGGCCUAGAUAAUUCGUAGGGAGAUUCCCCACUUUACACCUGAAAACUGCAGCAGCUCUAUCCACCUCUUCCACUCCCCCAAUUGGAAUAAUUUCGCUUUUCUGCAAAUUAAUUUUAAGACCUGAAACUACUUCAAAGCAGAUAACAACCCACUUCCAAAAAAUCAGCUGAUCCCUAUCAUCCUCACAAAAAAGGAGAGUAUCAUCAGCAAACAAUAGGUGGGAGACUGACACCCCUUCUCCCCGUCUUCCCGUUGCCUUGAAGCCCCUAAUAAAACCAUUCUCUUCAGCUCUUGAAAUUAAACUACUGAGCGCUUGCAUGAUCAGCACAAACAAAUAAGGUGAGAGUGGAUCACCUUGCCUUAGGCCCCUAAACGUUGAGAAGAAAUCUGUGGGAGUACCAUUCACUAACACUGCCAUUCUCACAGUGGAUAUGCAACAAAAAAUCCAUUUACGCCAUUUUGGACCAAAACCCAUCUUCUCCAAGACUGACAUGAGGAACCUCCAGUUUACGUGGUCAUAAGCCUUCUCAAUGUCCAGUUUGCACACUAAGCCUGUCCCAACACUUCUCUUCCUUGAGUCUAUCGCCUCAUUAGCCACCAAAACAGCGUCUAAAAUCUACCUCCCUUCUACAAAAGCAUUCUGACUAUUCGAAACCAAUUUUCCCAUUACUCCUUUCAAUCUAUUUGCUAGAACUUUAGCAAUAAUUUUAUAAAGACUCCCCACUAGACUGAUUGGUCUAUAAUCCUGCACAUCACUAGCCCCCUCUUUCUUCGGGAUCAGCACUAAGAAAGUUGCAUUAUGGCUUCGAAAAAUCACAUUCUGCGAGUGGAGCUCCUCAAAGACCUGCAUCACUUCCCCCCCAACAACAGGCCAGCAAGUUUUCCAGAAAGCCAGUGUAAAGCCAUCCGGCCCUGGCGCCUUGUCUCCCCCCAGAUCAGAGAGAGCUCUGAGCACCUCCUCGUUCGAGAAUUGCCUCUCCAAAAUAUCAUUAUCCAAGGAAUCAAGAGUAUUAAAUAGACCAGACUCCACUUCUGGUCUUCUCACUAUGGGGUCCUCAAACAUUGACUUAAAGUAAGACCCAAUCCCUUCUUUAAGCUCCUCCUCUUUAUUCAGCCUAAUACCCCUAACUGUUAGGCUACUGAUAAAGUUUCCCCUUCUCCUAGCAUUAGCCAUCCGGUGGAAAAACUUGGUGUUGCUAUCUCCCUCCUUCAGCCAAAGGACCCUUGACUUCUGCCUCCAAGAGAUUUCUUCGAGGAUGGCACAGUGAUUAAAUUCAUCUCUGGCUGCCCCUUGACUCCUCCUAUCUUCCUCAGAGAGAGAGCCAAGACUUUCUAAAUUGUCCCAAUAUUUUAACUUCUCCCAGGCUGCAUUCUUCUUAACUGACACAUCGCCAAGGGAUUCUUUAUUCCACAACUUCAGGUCUUGUUUCAGAGCCUGAAGCUUCUUCGCUAUCACAAAGCUUGGACUCCCCCUAAAAAUGUAAGACUGCCACCACUCUUUAACCUUAUCCGUAAAUCCUUCCACCCUUAGCCACAUGUUCUCAAACCUAAACGGGCUUUUACCUUUUCUCACCCCUCCACAGUCCAACAGAAUUGGACAAUGGUCAGAAACAGGUCUAGUUAUAAGACAUUGCAUUGCCCCGGUCACUCGUUCCUCCCAGUCUCCUGAGAACAAAAAACGAUCUAAACGAGCCUUAAGGGCCCCUCCUUCCCCUCCUAUCCAAGUGAAAGCUCCACCCCCCAGAGGUGGGUCAACUAGUUCAAACUCAUCGAUAAAGCUUGAAAACUCUCUCAUCGCAGUUGACAUCUGCCUUCCAUUGCUCGUUUCAGCUGGGAACCGCACCACAUUAAAAUCCCCUGCAAUGCACCAGGGAUCAUUCCACAGCCCCUUGAUUGCGGCUAACUCCUCCCACAACUCCCUCCUCUCCCUUCCUUUGCUCGGACCAUAUAACCCAGAGAAGACCCACACAAAGCCCUCUUCACAAUUUCUAAAACGACAAGAGAUAGAAAAAGACCCCACUUCGAACUCCAACCCUUCCAAAACUCUUUUAUCCCACAUUACUAGCACCCCACCUGCAGCACCCCUCGCAUCUAAAGACACCCAACCUAAAUUCCUCCCAAUUCCCACACUCUUGACAACCCUAUCAGACAUUUCCUUCAUCUUUGUCUCCUGAAGACAAACCAGAUCUGGCUUGUGUUUUCUCACCAUCGACUUGAUGACCAUCCUUUUAUCUGGGUCAUGCAUGCCUCUAACAUUCCAGGACAAUACUCUAAGCUUCAUAAGGAACCACGGUCAUUUGCCUUCUCAGCUCCCCUUCCUCUGUCUCUCUUCCAGCCACUCCAUCAUAGUUAAUGGUACUGACGAGCUUCUUCAGCUCUCUUUCCUUCCUUGAAUCCGACAAGGUGCCUCUUUUUUUCUCAUUAAACUUCCUGAUGAAGCAUCUCCUAUUCUCAAUCUCCUUGAGAAUUCUCAAAAUAUCCUCCUCAAAACCUUCAAUCGAGACCCCCACCGACUUGCAGAAGCCUAGGAAUUUCUUAUUUAUCCAAGGGGAUUUAUCGUUUUCCUUUUCUCCUACUCCAAUGAUCUGAAGAUGUGACGUCUGGACCUCACCUUCUUGAGACCGAGGGGAUACCGCCCCUAUCCCUCCCUCUUGGCAACUAGCCCCUUCAUUAUCUGGCAGAGAGAAGGAACGUCCAUCCUUGAGGAUCAUGCAAAGCGGCAGUUCGGUCUCCAAGGGGUCUUCAAUCGUCUCCUCAAGCUGCCUUGACUGCGAGAUCCCUAUGGUAUCCCCCAUCUCGGGAGGAGAAGGAGAAGAAGAAGAAGGGCCAGACGAUUCCCCUGAGACCCCCCCAAGAAUAGUCGAGAUGGGGUACAUACCUGAUGUACAGCUCUUCCACGGCGGGGCGUUUCGAUCUUGACCCAGCGCCGACGCCUCCUGCAUCGAGAAAUCCCUGGUACACCUUGGCAGCGUCGGGAGCUCCUCCUUGUUCUCCCCAGCAGCAGAGGAAGGGAGCCCUAGGACUGAUACCUGGGCUGACCCUUUUAUACCUUCUUUUGAUCUAUUGGGCCUAGUUGACCCAGCCCAUCUCCCCUCCUUAUUAAAGCAGCCCAUACCCAUUCUCUUAAAAAGACUUUGGGCCCUGUGGGUGCUGGGCUCCCAAGAACUAUUGGGCUUAAAUGACCCAGCCCAUCUCCCCUCCCUUUUAAGGCGGCCCAAGACCACUUUCUUCAAAGGAUUUUUGGCCCUGUGGGAGCUGGGCAACCUAGAGCAGGCAGGCCCUCCCAGCUGGUUCUCCAAUUCAGCCCGAUUGGAGCUUGGCCCAUCCUUUCCAGCCUUUCCUGCCACAACAGCUCUACCUUUUUCAAAAAGCUUCAUUUUGUCCUUCCUAAUCACUUCAGCCGCCCCACCUUUUGCUGCGUCAGGCGCCUCCUUCACCAGCCCGGUCACCUCUUGCAGGGAAACAAGACCUCCCCCUUCUUUUUUCCCAGCUUUAUCCUCGGGAAUCUGGAUCUCCCAGCCUGUCACUCUAUCGCCAACACCAGCAGCGGGAUUUCCUCCUCCAUAGUGCAUCUCAUUCACUCGCUCCUUAGAACGUGGGUCACACCCUCCUUCUCCCUGUUCAGAUGGAUCGAUACUCGUCUUGCUCACUGGUUCAUCUGCACCCUGAAGUGCCGAGAACCAAACCGAGUCCUCCCACCACAACGGAAUAGAGAAUGAGGCGAGUCCAGCUAUCACCUCUAAUCUUCCAGGCACCUCCUUCCCAUUGUUUUUAACUAAAAUUCUAGCACCCCUUCUGUAGCAAGACUUUUUGGUCUCCUCAUCCACAUCAACAAAACCCCCACAGGCAUCCCCCACUCUUCUGAAGAACUCCAUGCACCAAAACUGAAGAGGCAGCCCUGGGAUUCUCACCCAGGAAACAUCCCUCUGAAACUCCACUCUUGAACACCCCAUAGUUGGAACCCACCAGUCUAGGGAUAAACGAACCCCUUUGAGCAGGCGACUCCCCUCCUGUAGCACUCUUUGAGCAUCACCCCUAUUGGAAAAUUCAAAAAGGAACAAUGCAUCUCUUAAUGCAGCUACCCUCACUUUACCACAGAAGCUCCACUGGGUGUUAGCCCAAAUCUCCACCACUCUUAAUUCGGGUCCCUUCUCAUCCUCCGCAUCCCAUCUUCCCACCAAAAAACGGCUGAGAUCUUUCAGCUUCGAGGUAUAGGCCUCAUUUCCAACUUCAAUCCACACUUCUUCACUCCUGUUUCUUUCCCCUGUUGCCAAUCUCUUAGUUGCAUUCACAUAGCUUAAAUCAGGUCUAACAAGAGAAAGUGCAUGCCCUCCAUACCCUCCUCCCAAAGGCCGAGAAGCCUCUGUUUCAUUCUUAGAGACCUCACCAAUUUUAGCUAACUUCUUCAACUUACAUCUCAUGAAUUCCCAACCCAACAGGUCAAAACCCUCUGGAAUAAAAAUGAAGUAUCUCCUAUCAUCCUCUGAAAGAACAGAGAGCAUAAGGAAACGACCAGCUUCAUUUUGACGCAUUUCUAUCUUGUAUCUCCUCCCUCGGUCAAUCGCAUCUUCCUUGAACGGCUUCUUCCCCCUCCAAUUGCAGCAUACUUCCAACGCCUUCAGAAACCAUACCACUACCCCCCUCCUCGCUUUGAUCCAUCUCCGAAAGCCUCUGCCUUUCUCUACUAUCUGAACCUCACCCCCAUCCUUUGUCCAAUCAAUCCUCAACUCAAAGGACUUGGAAUCAAUGCGGAAGAAGCAUAAGCUAUCCCCCAUUUGGGUUGCAAAAGUUAAGCUACAUAUGUUAAAACAAAUCAUAUUAACAUCUCAAAAUUUAUAGAGAAUGCCUCUAUCUUGCACGGGAAAAGACACAAGAAGCUGGAAAGGAGCAUCAGAAUAUGUUUGUCACUAUGCAUAGGACUAACAUGACAGCUUCUAGCGUGACAAACACACUAUGGUGUGCUAACAUGUUAGCAUCUUUGAGCAUAUAAGUCACAAUAUCUGCACAAAGUUCAACUUCCUUAUUUGCCCACGUCACUUUCAAAAUUUCACCAAUUCUCCUGAAUCCUGACAAAAAAACACCAUAUAUCCUCGAAUAAAAAGAACCAUGACAUACCCCUAAUUAAAUCGAAAUUUAAUUGUG